RNAcentral lists this transfer RNA (78 nucleotides) under Pseudomonas fluorescens A506. RNAcentral's name for it is "tRNA-Lys". It matches the Rfam family "tRNA". From Rfam's summary of the family: Transfer RNA (tRNA) molecules are approximately 80 nucleotides in length. Their secondary structure includes four short double-helical elements and three loops (D, anti-codon, and T loops). The record is from RNAcentral. Lineage: Bacteria; Pseudomonadati; Pseudomonadota; Gammaproteobacteria; Pseudomonadales; Pseudomonadaceae. RNAcentral also lists the same sequence under 2 other names.
UGGGUCGUUAGCUCAGUUGGUAGAGCAGUUGGCUUUUAACCAAUUGGUCGUAGGUUCGAAUCCCACACGACCCACCAU